GGCCCAGUAGCGGAUGGUCCGCGCCUGCUUUGAAUUGGUGUCGCUCAGAUAAGUUUCUGACCGCAGGAGUUGCUCGUUCGACUCGAGCCUGGGCCU
Molecule: non-coding RNA, 96 nt
Organism: Mycena latifolia
Lineage: Eukaryota; Fungi; Basidiomycota; Agaricomycetes; Agaricales; Mycenaceae
Source: the annotation of a GenBank genome assembly